RNAcentral lists this transfer RNA (72 nucleotides) under Fidelibacterota bacterium. Its description in RNAcentral is "tRNA-Glu". It matches the Rfam family "tRNA". From Rfam's summary of the family: Transfer RNA (tRNA) molecules are approximately 80 nucleotides in length. Their secondary structure includes four short double-helical elements and three loops (D, anti-codon, and T loops). Further hydrogen bonds mediate the characteristic L-shaped molecular structure. tRNAs have two regions of fundamental functional importance: the anti-codon, which is responsible for specific mRNA codon recognition, and the 3' end, to which the tRNAs corresponding amino acid is attached (by aminoacyl-tRNA synthetases). tRNAs cope with the degeneracy of the genetic code in two manners: having more than one tRNA (with a specific anti-codon) for a particular amino acid; and 'wobble' base-pairing, i.e. permitting non-standard base-pairing at the 3rd anti-codon position. The record is from RNAcentral. Lineage: Bacteria; Pseudomonadati; Fidelibacterota. RNAcentral also lists the same sequence under 1 other name.
GGCCCGUUCGUCUAGUGGUUAGGACUCCAGGUUUUCGACCUGGCAACAGGAGUUCGAUUCUCCUACGGGCUA